AUUGAACGCUGGCGGCAUGCCUUACACAUGCAAGUCGAACGGUAACGCGGGGCAACCUGGCGACGAGUGGCGAACGGGUGAGUAAUGCAUCGGAACGUGCCCAGUAGUGGGGGAUAGCUCGACGAAAGUCGAAUUAAUACCGCAUACGACCUAAGGGUGAAAGGGGGGGAGUCGCAAGACCUCUCGCUAUUGGAGCGGCCGAUGUCAGAUUAGGUAGUUGGUAGGGUAAAAGCCUACCAAGCCUAUGAUCUGUAGCUGGUCUGAGAGGACGACCAGCCACACUGGGACUGAGACACGGCCCAGACUCCUACGGGAGGCAGCAGUGGGGAAUUUUGGACAAUGGGCGCAAGCCUGAUCCAGCCAUGCCGCGUGCGGGAAGAAGGCCUCGGUUGUAACCGCUUUGUCAGGAAGAAAGCGCCAGGUUAAUACCUUGGCGUCAUGACGGUACCUGAAGAAUAAGCACCGGCGUAACUACGUGCCAGCAGCCGCGGUAA
RNAcentral lists this ribosomal RNA (494 nucleotides) under uncultured bacterium. RNAcentral's name for it is "bacterial SSU rRNA". It matches the Rfam family "Bacterial small subunit ribosomal RNA", at positions 30 to 523 of the family's 1533-position model. The record is from RNAcentral.